AAUCAACGCUGGCGGCGUGCCUCAGACAUGCAAGUCGAACGCGAAAGCUCCCUUCGGGGAGCAAGUAGAGUGGCGCACGGGUGAGUAACACGUAGGUAAUCUACCUUUGGAUGGGGAAUAACAACCGGAAACGGUUGCUAAUACCGCAUAAUGCAGCGGCACCUAAUGGUGACAGUUGUUAAAGCGGGGGAUCGCAAGACCUCGCGUCUGAAGAGGAGCCUGCGGCGGAUUAGCUAGUUGGUAGGGUAACGGCUUACCAAGGCGAUGAUCCGUAGCCGGCCUGAGAGGGCGGUCGGCCACACUGACACUGACAUACGGGUCAGACUCCUACGGGAGGCAGCAGUCGGGAAUUUUGGGCAAUGGGCGAAAGCCUGACCCAGCAACGCCGCGUGAAGGAUGAAAUCCUUCGGGAUGUAAACUUCGCAAGAACGGGAAGAAUAAAGUCUGCGCAAAUAUCGCAGAUGAUGACGGUACUGUUUGUAAGCUCCGGCUAACUCCGUGCCG
RNAcentral lists this ribosomal RNA (504 nucleotides) under uncultured bacterium. Its description in RNAcentral is "bacterial SSU rRNA". It matches the Rfam family "Bacterial small subunit ribosomal RNA", at positions 32 to 510 of the family's 1533-position model. The record is from RNAcentral.